This is a long non-coding RNA of Chinchilla lanigera (long-tailed chinchilla), 294 nucleotides long. RefSeq lists it as uncharacterized. The record is from RefSeq and is a predicted model, not a curated record. NCBI's taxonomy places the organism in Eukaryota, Metazoa, Chordata, Mammalia, Rodentia, Chinchillidae. The transcript is spliced from 3 exons.
CCGUUCAUUUCAGUUAUAACUGGAUCCAGUUCAUCAGGAAUUUUACUUGUUGACCUUUUAAAGAAGCUUAAAUCGGGACAAUUCACGAAGAUAGGAAAGGUUGUACGGUGCGGCAUGCCUUCCCCUCCAUCUUCAUGUUGGCUGCAAAUCUAAGAAUGAGAAGAACCGUCUUUGCAUGUGUUUUUAUCUUCCUCUGUCUCUUCGGUGAUGUUGGAAGUGUGAUUUGUAGGUCAUGUAAUCUCUCAAUCCCCUUCCAUGGAUGCCUUCUAGACUUCGGAACCUGCAGAACAAAGU